This 253-nucleotide ribosomal RNA is filed under the name uncultured bacterium. RNAcentral describes it as "partial 16S ribosomal RNA". It matches the Rfam family "Bacterial small subunit ribosomal RNA", at positions 524 to 776 of the family's 1533-position model. The record is from RNAcentral.
UACGUAGGGUGCAAGCGUUAAUCGGAAUUACUGGGCGUAAAGCGUGCGCAGGCGGUUUCGUAAGUCUGUCGUGAAAUCCCCGGGCUUAACCUGGGAAUGGCGAUGGAGACUGCGAGGCUAGAGUUUGGCAGAGGGGGGUAGAAUUCCACGUGUAGCAGUGAAAUGCGUAGAGAUGUGGAGGAACACCGAUGGCGAAGGCAGCCCCCUGGGCUAACACUGACGCUCAGGCACGAAAGCGUGGGGAGCAAACAGG